This is a long non-coding RNA of Felis catus (domestic cat), 1910 nucleotides long. RefSeq lists it as uncharacterized. The transcript has 3 exons. The record is from RefSeq and is a predicted model, not a curated record. NCBI's taxonomy places the organism in Eukaryota, Metazoa, Chordata, Mammalia, Carnivora, Felidae.
AUGAGCACUGGGUGUUGUAUGGAAACCAAUUUGACAAUAAACGUCAUAUAUUGAAUAAAUAAAUAAAUAAAUAAAUAAAUAAAUAAAUAAAUACAUGGCCUGGCACAACACAAACUCUCAGUAAACUCUAGGAAAUCUUCUUAACAAUCCCAUCCUCUUCCACAAAUUGCUCAGAAUCCUGGGGCUUCUUCCUUCCCGCUUUCUCUCAGACUAACUCCUUCUUUUCCAUUCUCGUGGCCUCCCUGCAAUCCUGGCACUGUGAUCUCGUCUCCUCCCCGCCCUCGUCACGGGCCUCCCUCUCCCCCACCUCAUCCAUCUCCAGCUCACCAGGCCGCUCUGCAGAAGGGCCGGUGUGUUUGGUACCCUUAGCUCCCAGGUACUUUUCCAUGCGUCCCGCUUUACUCAGAGGAGCUCAUUUAAUUCAGUUCCCACAACUGCCCUCUGAAGCAGGUAUUAUGGCCAUUUUACAAAUGAGGAAACCGAGCCUCUGAGAGGAGAAACCAUCUGCCCAAGGUCACUCUGCAAGUAUACGGUGGAGCCAGAAUUCAAGCCCCGCUGUGUGGCUCCAGGCUGCCUUCCGCACCAGACUCCUCAGCAAAGCAUCUGAGGCCUUCAGCAGAUGGCUGCCCUCACCUGUCCCAACGCAGCCAGAUGCUUGCCCAUGCGAGACAGGCCAGCCCCCUGAUGCACACCUCUCAUCUUCACUUGUGUCUUACCCUCAAGGAGUCAAAGAGCAAGAAUAGGAAAAAGAAAAGGAGAGGCUGUAGGAAUGAGAGGGAUUUGGGAAAGAGAAGAGCGGGAAGGGGAAAGCAUGCUGAAAGGGAACUAAUGUGGUAUCCAGAGGUUUGGGGGCUUUUCUGGUGGGCCUUCAGCUCUGCCUCCAGCUUAGCUUCUGUCUUCUCCAUCAGGGCAUGGGAUUCCAUGGAGAGGAAAGAGUGAGAGGAGCCUCGGGCACAGGAGGCCCAAGCUGGAGGCUGGCGCAAUGGCUGUAAAAAACUCCAGCUGCUCCAAAUGCAUUCAAGCCACUUGGCCCAGCCCACACCCAGGGGUCACCAGGCUGGUAGACGAGGGAAAUGGGGUUUGCCGGUGUAGCUGAUCUUGAAACCAUCUGACAAGCUCUUCAAGAAAUUGUUGCAUAUAAGCUAGAGAAAGGAAGCUAAAAGGUGAAGAAUUAGUAGCACACAGAGCUGGCCAUACAAUCUUACCCAAAGGUGCCUACUGAUGGUUUGAGUCCCCUUGGAUGGAAGCAGCCAGGUUCCAGGUGGUGCUGAUGCUGCUGGCCAGGGACCUGCUCUGUGAACAACUGCUCUGGAGUAAUCAGGAAAGGAAGCAGGUGUCCUCCAGACUCAGAGCCACGGAGAGAUAAAGGUUCGCUGCCGGGAUCAUCAUCUGUCUCCAGUACAGGAGUCCCCCAGCAACAUCCUGGGCAGCAAGACUGACAGCUGGUGCUGCUUCACCAGAACCCAUCUGGUUGGGAAGAUGCCCAUUCUGAAAAAAAACCCAGCUUCCUGUACUUUCUACUCUGGAGUCUUCUGCUUUUCCCGGGCUGAUGAGCUGUGUUCUCUCCUAUAGGAAGUCCUGCCCCUUCUGCAGUCAGCCAGCAUGACCCCUAGGGUUUUCUCCCUCUCUAAAUAAAUGGACAAGUUCCCUUCACUGGAACUUUUGUGGCUGGGUUUCCCAAGCCCCUCCUGUUGCUGGCUGCCCUCCAUGGAGCACACUGAAGUUGGUCAGGGUCCCCUCUAAGAUCCAUGUCCAGAAAUGAGGACAGAAUUACCGGGGAGAACCCAAUCUGGUUCCUGCACUUCUCUUAGUGCCAUUUAAGAUGGUAUUGUUUUGGGGCGCCUGGGUGGCGCAGUCGGUUAAGCGCCCGACUUCAGCCAGGUCACAAUCUCGCGGUCCGUGAGUUCGAG